UACAGAGGGUGCGAGCGUUAAUCGGAAUUACUGGGCGUAAAGGGCGCGUAGGUGGUUAUUUAAGUAAGAGGUGAAAUCCCUGGGCUUAACCUGGGAACUGCUUUUUAGACUGAAUGACUGGAGUACAGUAGAGGGUAGUGGAAUUUCCGGUGUAGCGGUGAAAUGCGUAGAUAUCGGAAGGAACACCAGUGGCGAAGGCGGCUACCUGGACUGAUACUGACACUGAGGCGCGAAAGCGUGGGUAGCAAACAGG
Molecule: ribosomal RNA, 253 nt
Filed under: uncultured bacterium
Lineage: Bacteria
Description: partial 16S ribosomal RNA
Rfam family: Bacterial small subunit ribosomal RNA
Source: RNAcentral